ACUCAAAGGAAUAGACGGGGGCCCGCACAAGCAGCGGAGCGUGUGGUUUAAUUCGAUGCAACGCGCAGAACCUUACCUGGGCUUGACAUGCACGUGGUACCGAGUCGAAAGAUGAGGGACCCGCGAGGGAGCGUGCACAGAUGCUGCAUGGCUGUCGUCAGCUCGUGCCGUGAGGUGUUGGGUUAAGUCCCGCAACGAGCGCAACCCCCGCCGUCAGUUGCCUUUUCUGGCGGGACCGCCGGUACAAACCGGAGGAAGGUGGGGAUGACGUCAAGUCAGCACGGCUCUUACGUCCAGGGCGACACACACGCUACAAUGGCCGGUACAACGGGCCGCGACGCCGCGAGGCUGAGCCAAUCCCACCAAAGCCGGCCCCAGUCCGGAUCGCAGGCUGCAACCCGCCUGCGUGAAGUCGGAGUUGCUAGUAACCGCGGGUCAGCACACCGCGGUGAAUACGUUCCCGGGCCUUGUACACACCGCCCGU
Molecule: ribosomal RNA, 484 nt
Filed under: uncultured bacterium
Lineage: Bacteria
Description: partial 16S ribosomal RNA
Rfam family: Bacterial small subunit ribosomal RNA
Source: RNAcentral